UUAAAGGUAAUGACUGGGAAUAGUAGAUGCCUGAAAACUUUCAGAGAGUCGGCGGUUGGUGUGAGCCGAUAGUUCCAGGGUUUUGAACUCAUCCAUGAACUGCUGCCCGAUUUGGUAAGGUAAGCCGGAGUUCCUCCGUUACAGGGAUAGACGGUGCUAGCCGUUGAAAAAGUGAAUUCUUAGGAAUUAAGUAGAGUGGUACCGCGAGUCAGCCUCGUCUCUAGA
Molecule: non-coding RNA, 225 nt
Filed under: Ruminiclostridium hungatei
Lineage: Bacteria; Bacillati; Bacillota; Clostridia; Eubacteriales; Oscillospiraceae
Description: Clostridium hungatei T-box sequence
Rfam family: T-box leader
About the family: Uncharged tRNA acts as the effector for transcription antitermination of genes in the T-box leader family.
Source: RNAcentral